Molecule: unclassified non-coding RNA, 253 nt
Filed under: uncultured cyanobacterium
Lineage: Bacteria; Bacillati; Cyanobacteriota
Description: contains 16S-23S intergenic spacer region
Rfam family: Bacterial small subunit ribosomal RNA
Source: RNAcentral
UACGUAGGGUGCAAGCGUUGUCCGGAAUUAUUGGGCGUAAAGAGAACGUAGGCGGUUUGUUAAGUCUGGUCUUCACGACCAGGGCUCAACCCUGGGAGUGGAAUGGAAACUGUCAGACUUGAGGACGUCAGAGGAAGGUGGAAUUCCCAGUGUAGCGGUGAAAUGCGUAGAUAUUGGGAGGAACACCAGUGGCGAAAGCGGCCUUCUGGGACGAUCCUGACGCUGAGGUUCGAAAGCUCGGGGAGCAAACAGG